Molecule: RNA transcript, 1470 nt
Organism: Oncorhynchus kisutch (coho salmon)
Lineage: Eukaryota; Metazoa; Chordata; Actinopteri; Salmoniformes; Salmonidae
Gene name: ubiquinone biosynthesis monooxygenase COQ6, mitochondrial
Exons: 9
Source: RefSeq, a predicted model, not a curated record
GUUACAUAUAUAUAAAUAUACAACAUGGCUGGAUUAUAGAACGGCCACCUCUGCGAAAGGACAUAUGCAAGGCGAGUUUAGUCCUGAUUAAGAACAUCCCAACAAUACAGUUGGAGUUGUUUUAGGGUUAGACGAGUCCCACGUUACGUUGUUUUAAAGAUGCAUAGUCUCACUAAAGCAACGCUGGUUUGAAAUGGAAUUGGGCGGCGGUGUGUUGCUAUGAAUCGUUUUUCAGGAGCAAGAAUCAUUUGCAGGGGACUCGCGUGUGCAGCAGAACAUGGGGAACAUGAAAGGAGCUUUAUGAUGUCAUUAUAUCUGGAGGAGGAAUGGUUGGGACCGCUAUGGCUUGGUCUUUAGCAUCAAUCAGGCACGGAUCCAAGCUUGGAGGGGAAGAAGAUUCUGCUGCUUGAGGCAGGCAACAAAAAGGUGUUGGAGCAUGGAAUCAUAUUAUGAACAUGAGAUGUAAGCCCUAUCAGAAGAUGCAGUUCAGUUUUUGGAAACUCCACUCUACCACAAGCACUAAAGGUUUGGGAUGCCUGCUCAGAUGCCCUGAUUACAUUCGAUAAGGAGAACCUGCAGGACGAGAUGGCAUACAUUGUGGAGAACGACAUCAUUGUGGCAGCCCUAACAAAACAGCUGGAGAAUCUGUCUGAUCAGGUGAAGGUCCAGUACAAAACCAAGGUGGUGAUGUACACUUGGCCCAAGUCUCACCAGGUAGCUGAAUCCAUCCCCUGGGUUCAGGUCACCCUGGCCAAUGGACAGACAUUUCAAACCAAAUUACUGAUUGGAGCAGAUGGGCCAAAUUUGAUGGUGAGGCAGGAGGCGGAGAUACCUACGGUCAAGUGGAAUUACGACCAAUCAGCUGUUGUGGCUGUCUUGCAUCUGUGAGAUCCAACAGAGAACAAUGUUGCGUGGCAGAGAUUCCUUCCAACAGGACCCAUAGCAAUGUUACCGGGGCCAUGCAGUAUCUGUUGGAAUAUGAGGCGGAACGGCAGCGACACAACCUGCCCAUGAUGGCCGCCAUCGACCUGAUGAAACGACUCUACUCAACUAACGCUGCCCAUGUGGUUCUCUUACGCACCUUCGGUCUGCAAGCCACCAACACAUUACCAGCCAUAAAAGAGCAGAACAUGGCGUUUGCAAGCGAGUGACACGUACACUGGUCCUGAAGUGGCAGUUUGACGGGACUCCAAAGAUGAUAUGCCACUGUGACUUUGUGAAUGGAAUGUAAAGUGUAAAUGAAUAAAGUUAUAUAUUAUGCUCUGUUAUUACAUGAACAUCGCUAUACCUGCAUGUCUUUCUUUGUGUGUUGUUGAUAUUGGAAACUUCCAAGCAUCAUUCUGUAUCACAGUUUCACAAUCUGUUGGAAUUUUUAUGACAGAAAAUUUGUUUCAGAAAACAUGUAUUUACAAUGUUUUGCAAAUGUAUUGAGAAUGAAAUGCAUAAAUAUAUAAUUUACUUAAGUAUUCA